UGACGGUCGGCGGCGUGGCCUCCGGAGCGGUGAAAAGCGACACCGCGGGUGUAGGAUUACGCCGUCGCGGUGCACGCGCGCCGCGCGAAUGGGAAUCCUUUCGGUCACUGCACCCCGUGCACGUCGUCGUCGAGAUCGCGAUCCGUCGUCCGCCACGACGUCGUUACCGGUCACGGGACCGUCGUCACUCGUGCUCCGUCGACCCUUUUCCGCCACGAUGCCGUUUCCCGCGAAUCCCGCGCACGGACCGUCCGUCUACAAGAACAAAUUGGGUGAGUAAACGCGUCAUUAAUAUUCCGAGGUAAUUAAUCAUUUAUGUGUGUACGAUAAACGGGUAAAAUAAACACUUUAGCACUUACCCAACUAGCCACAGUAAAAUGUACCCACGCCAAAUAUCCGUAUUUUCGAACUUCGAGUGUCUUUUUGAAAAAAUGUAUUCCCUGGUACGCAGUCGAAAAUUAAUAUAACCGACAUUCCCAAUAUUAUAUUGAUAGGUCUGUUAUUAAAACGUUUGUUCCGUGAUUUUUUUACUGGUUUUUUUUUCUACGAAUUCAUAUUAUUAUGUUGUAGGUACCUACUAAUAACGGACGUACAAAAAUAUUUAAAUUCGUUCAACGUAGGUAAUAAUAAUUGUUAUUACGACGGGUAAUACCUAAUCAUACAGGUCGUUAUCAGCAUGAUUAUGACCGUGUAUUUUAGGUACCUAUCUACAUUGAUUACUACGUACAUAAUUUAUGGACAGGUUGUCCCAACCAGUUGGACGGAUUUGUCUAAAGCCGUUAAUAUUCAAUUACAAUUAAUAUUCGUUAAUAUUUUUUGUUUUUGUUUUUUUUUUUUAAUAGGACUUAUAUUUUAUGAGAAAAAUUUAAUUUUAAUUUUUAUCCCCUAAUCGUUAAAUAACUUUUUAUGUAUUCAUUUAACCGUAAAUUUUCAAAAUAGCAAUUUUAGAGGAUAUUAUUCUAAAAAUGUUAAUGUAUCACACAUAUAAUCAUAUCCAAUGUAUAGUUUUAGAUUCUGAGUGUAGCAAAGAAUGUAUUGGUUGUAAAAGAUGUUUAUUUUUUUAUAUUGUGUAUACAAAAAUUCUAACAGGAAUCUUGCUUUGAUAUUUACGCGCAGUACCAUUUCUAAAAGGAAAUAUUGUCCAGAUGGUACUUUUAGGAGGUCAUUUUUUGAUUUUCCAAGCGGUUUUCAUGAUAUUUGGGAAAAACCGCGAUAAAACGUAAGGAAAAAACAAAAAUUUACGAAAAUAAUAAAGUUUUAUUAUUUUUCAUUAUUGUAAUCUGUUAUAAUUCAAUUAAAAAUAUAUUUAGAGACUUGAAAUUUGGACAAAAAUUUAUAUUUACCUUUUCUAAAUGUGGUAAAGUUUUCAAAAAAUUUAAGCCAUUUUUGGGCCAUUUAGACAUUUUAAUUUUGUGAGUUUUGUACGUAAUGUUUAUUCGGUAGAUACUCUGUAGUAAAAUUGUUAGACUUAAGAGAAAUGCUUGCAAAUUUAACAGGUUCAUUAUUUUGUGUUUAGAAAACAAAUUUGAGUUUAAUGUUUUUUAUAAAUGAAUUUGAAUAUCGAAUUUUGAUGAAAAUUGCAGUUUUUCCAGGAAAUUUGAAAAACUGGAAAAAAACGUAGAAAAACCAGUAAAAUCAGUACGAUAUUAAACAAAUAUUAUUAAAGAAAAUAUAUAAUACCUAUUUAAUUAUUGUAUCAUAAUAUGAAAUACUUAUUGUUGACAAAGCAUCACUAUCAACUGAACUCUGCUCAGAAUCGUUUUUUCGUUAACAAUGGUUUAUCGUUACUUACAGAUACAAAUUAAUUUCCUCUUUAUAUCCUACAUUCCCAACUUCUCAUCAACAACAGUGCUGCACCCAUCGUGCGAAGUAUGUCCGUCUUUUUUUAGUAAUAGUCUUUUUAAUUUUUAACAUUUUCGAUUUAUAACACAAUAAAUCAAGUUAUUUCCUAUUGCAUUACGCAAAUAAUCGGGUAACGCUGUUUUUAACACCUUUCCUCUAGAAAUAAAAACGGCUGUUAGUAAGAAACUAUUGAUCAGAUAUGGAUGUAUGAUCCAUCAACAUUUUUAGAAUGUUAUAAUUUACAAAAUGACUAUUUUAAAAAUUUUGUUAAGUGAAUAAAUAAAAUGUUCUUUAUUUUAGAAAUUAUAGAAUCAAAAUAAAAAUCGAAUUUUUCUCUAAAUAGAUCAUCCAAAGAAAAUCAGAUUGAAAAAAAUUAAUUAAAAAAAUAGGCGAACAUGGUGGAACACUGUAUCUGUAUCUAUAGUAGAUUACAUUGUGUGUACUUAUUUCCGUUAUAGCUCAUAAAACUAGUAAAAAUCUGUCAGAAAAUACGGCCUAAAUAGGUUUUUAUACUGCUAAAGGUUGAAAAUGUCUUUCAAAAUCUUCUUAUAGUACUUACUUACCUAUAAUUUUUUUUGUAUUAUCCUAAAAUAUUAUAUCAAUUUCUUUUCGAUUCACUGUAUACACAUAACUAUGUAGAUCACAUUUUAUCAAUGUUAUAGUUGUAUCUAGCCUUACCAGUUUACCGGACUCUGCUUAGAAUAGUUUUUUUUUUAAUUGAAAUGAUUUAUCGUCAGUUUUCGUGUUUUAAUAUUAAUUAAUAAUAACUUCAAACAGUAGUAUACCCAUAGACGCAAUAUUUUUGGGGAUACACAAAUAGUAAAAACCUUACAGAUCCGUAGGAGCUUUGUCCCCACAUCUCCGACCCACUUUAUAUUGCACUAUAUUUAUGAUAAAAAAAUUGCAAAUAUUAUGUAUGUACUUUGUUUUAAUAUAGGCAACACAAAUUCCAGACUAACAAAAAAGUUUAUUACAACUAUUUCAACAUAAAUUUUCUUGAAUGCAAAUUACAUAAUAUAUUUAAAAUGUAUACAUUUUUUUAAACUAUUUGUUAUAUCCCUUCGAUAUUUAAUAUCGAUAAUAUUUACUUCAAAAUCAAAACAAUCAAACUGCAGUAGAAAAUGGUUUUCACAUUUUGGGGGUGCACAAGUACUCUGUGCACCCCCUAUUCGCGCCAAUAGGCAUACCCUUGAGAAGUUUUUUUUAUUUUUUCGUAUAAUUAGAAAAAUAUUUCUAGUGAACGUGUUUGGUAAAAUUUUCUCAUGAAAAUAUCAAAAUUACCGUCGAAAAAUAAAAUAAAUUCGCGCGAUAGGCGUGCGGAAAAGUCCGAACUUAUCAAUCGCGUACUUUUCAUGUCAUUUACUACACAAGGCAUAUUUUCAUUAAAAACAAUAAUCUACACUAAAUAUUAAACGAAAAUGUGUAAAUAGUCGUAGUAAGUACUUAUAGCGUGCGCUGAAAUGUGUUUUUUUUUUACUAUAUAAUAUAGCAGAUAAACACUUUUUAAACCAUUAUUGGUAUUGUGUUAAAAAAACAAUAGAAAAUAAAAAAUCGUUUAAACUUAGAAAGUUACAAAUGUAUUAUUAUGUUUAAAAAAAUCCAAAUUUCAGGUCGUAUACGUGAUCUAUUAUAUUAUAUUUUUGAUCCUUCAUUCUUCCAUGUGCAUUUUAUAUUUGUAUAGGUACACCGCAUACUGUAUUAUAUUUUAUUUUCAUGUCAUCGAUGUGCUGUAAAAUUUUUAAAACAACCUGCAUGUAAUGAAGCUGCGACGAAUGCAAAAUCGUUUUUUUUUUUCGACUUUUCACCUACUAUAUUAUAAUAUUAUGUAUUAUAUACACAGUAUACGAGCGCUACACUAUACGUUUGUUAUCAGAAUUAGACGUAAAACCCAGCGUGUCUAAAAUGAAAUUAUGAAACUUUCUACUGCACAUAUCAUUUUUCCUAUAUACACAAAAAAAAAAAAAAUGGGGGGAGCGAUAGGUGAAUCGUCUCCCCCCCUUAUACUAUAUUAUAUUACAAAAAAAAACCUGAUAAUAUAUCUAUGUUUUACAUUAUUUUAUAGUUAAUAAUAACUGUGGUAACAAAGCAAAAAAAUCAAUGAUUUUAAUAUUUUUUAGCAACACUAGGUUUCACCUAUUCUGUGAUAUGGCCAUGAUAAUGUGGUGUGCGGAGACCGGGAGACGGCAUGCACCACGAACUAAAAUAUUAAAGACCGAUUUCCAAAUCAAAAAAACCGAAAAAGGACUUUUAUUUUGUAAUA
Non-coding RNA from Cinara cedri, 4102 nucleotides. The record is from the annotation of a GenBank genome assembly. Lineage: Eukaryota; Metazoa; Arthropoda; Insecta; Hemiptera; Aphididae.